Molecule: ribosomal RNA, 422 nt
Filed under: uncultured bacterium
Lineage: Bacteria
Description: bacterial SSU rRNA
Rfam family: Bacterial small subunit ribosomal RNA
Source: RNAcentral
AAUCAACGCUGGCGGCGUGCCUCAGACAUGCAAGUCGAACGCGAAAUCUCCCUUCGGGGAGAAAGUAGAGUGGCGCACGGGUGAGUAACACGUAGGUAAUUUGCCUUUGGGUGGGGAAUAACUCAGGGAAACUUGAGCUAAUACCGCAUAAUGCAGCGGCUCGACAUCGAGACAGUUGUUAAAGCGGGGGAUCGCAAGACCUCGCGCCUGAAGAGAAGCCUGCGGCAGAUUAGCUAGUUGGUAAGGUAAUGGCUUACCAAGGCGACGAUCUGUAACCGGCCUGAGAGGGCGGUCGGUCACACUGACACUGACAUACGGGUCAGACUCCUACGGGAGGCAGCAGUCGGGAAUUUUGGGCAAUGGGCGAAAGCCUGACCCAGACAACGCCGCGUGAAGGAUGAAGUAUUUCGGUAUGUAAACUU